AGACCCUUCUCAAAUUAUAUGCAUACCUGGAAUUCCAGAAUCAGAACGAGGUUUAAAUGGCACGAAUGUAAACACACUGACCACUCUUAUCUCACUAUAUAGCCACGAUGUUGGGUGUUAAUAAAGAAAAGUUCUUAUUAUCAUUUUUGUGUCCCAAUGUGCUAUUCUGAUGAUAAAUAUAAUUUACCAUAUUCCAAAGGAUAAAGAUUAAAAAAAAAACACACAACAAAUUAUGGAUGACUAACUUUCUAAGAUAAGAAGGGAUAAAGGGUCAUUGUAAAAGGGUCACUGCAUCUACUGUGGUGUGUUCCAAACAUUUUACACUGAAGAUUACAACUGGACUCCACUUAAAACUGGUUCUAUUCCACCAGUGAUUAAUUGGGUUGAACAAACAACUCCAAUUAAGAAGGCCACUUAAAAGAAAAAUUCUUUCACCAAAGAAAAUGCUCAUUGAUAGCAUUGUCUAUAAUGAAGAUGAAGAAGAUAAUGCAACAAGUACCACUGGCCAACCAUCUACAUCUUAUGGGUCUACAGAAACACAGGAAGAAAAUGAUAAUUAAAUGCUUCAUUAGGCUUGAACUGGAGGAGACCAAAAAGAUGUAAAGACCCUGCAACUUAGCUGAGUUUGUAUUGAAAUUACAAAGGAACAUGCACACGUUUGCUUUUGUGUCAUUGUUACAUGGAUGCAUGUAGGAUGUUGAGAUCUAAUGGAACUUUUUGAAACUGGUGAUG
Ruditapes philippinarum (Manila clam) is the source of this 732-nucleotide long non-coding RNA. RefSeq lists it as uncharacterized. The transcript is spliced from 3 exons. The record is from RefSeq and is a predicted model, not a curated record. NCBI's taxonomy places the organism in Eukaryota, Metazoa, Mollusca, Bivalvia, Venerida, Veneridae.